AGUAGUUUGACUCCUGGCUACGAGGACGACGCUGGCGGCGUGCUUCAUACAUGCAAGUCGAACGAGAAUCUCUAGCUUGCUAGAGAGGAAAGUGGCGGACGGGUGAGUAAAAUGUAGAGAAUCUGCCCUAGAGAGAGGGACAACAGUUGGAAACGACUGCUAAUACCUCAUAUGCGCGUAGCUGAGAUGCUAUUCGUGAAAACUCCGGUGCUCUGGGAUGAGUCUGCAUCUGAUUAGCUAGUUGGCGGUGUAAUGGACCACCAAGGCGACGAUCAGUAGCUGGUUUGAGAGGAUGAUCAGCCACAAUGGGACUGAGACACGGCCCAUACUCC
This 332-nucleotide ribosomal RNA is filed under the name uncultured cyanobacterium. RNAcentral's name for it is "bacterial SSU rRNA". It matches the Rfam family "Bacterial small subunit ribosomal RNA", at positions 1 to 339 of the family's 1533-position model. Lineage: Bacteria; Bacillati; Cyanobacteriota. The record is from RNAcentral.